CAAGCUCGUUUCUAUGGGUCAG
Molecule: microRNA, 22 nt
Filed under: Ophiophagus hannah (king cobra)
Lineage: Eukaryota; Metazoa; Chordata; Lepidosauria; Squamata; Elapidae
Also listed under: 1 other name
Description: oha-miR-99a-3p
Gene: oha-miR-99a-3p
Source: miRBase by way of RNAcentral